Molecule: ribosomal RNA, 427 nt
Filed under: uncultured prokaryote
Description: bacterial SSU rRNA
Rfam family: Bacterial small subunit ribosomal RNA
Source: RNAcentral
CUAAGAAUAUUCCGCAAUGGACGAAAGUCUGACGGAGCGACGCCGCGUGGAUGAGGAAGGCCGAAAGGUUGUAAAGUCCUUUUGUCGAUGAAGAAUAAGUGGUGGAGGGAAUGCCAUCAUGAUGACGUUAGUCGGCGAAUAAGCCCCGGCUAAUUACGUGCCAGCAGCCGCGGUAACACGUAAGGGGCAAGCGUUGUUCGGAAUUAUUGGGCGUAAAGGGUACGUAGGCGGUUAUGUAAGCCCGGCGUGAAAUCCUGCAGCUUAACUGUAGAGCUGCGCUGGGAACUGCGUAACUUGAGUCAUGGAAGGGAAGUUAGAAUUCCAGGUGUAGGGGUGAAAUCUGUAGAUAUCUGGAAGAAUACCGGUGGCGAAGGCGAACUUCUGGCCAAUGACUGACGCUGAGGUACGAAAGUGCGGGGAGCAAACA